CUAGCACCACCAUUUGACUAGGAGUGGAAAAUCUCCUGCACCAAAUAGAGGAGGGGGUGGCCUUCCUUUCUCUACAGGAGGACCGAUUCGAACUUUCUUAGCCCUUCAGUCAGGACAGGACAUGAACCGAGGGGAAAAAAAAAUAUCUUUUGAGGAAAAUUUUCUAAUUAAAUUGCAUUCACUGUUAUUAGAUUAGACUGAAUAAUAGGAAAAAAAGAAGUUGCUUCUAACAGCCUGGGCUCCAUAAGCAAAGGAAAACAGAAAAUUGAUGAAGCAAAAUCCUGCUGUGACCCAGGUGAUUCUGAUUAAAAUAAAAAUUAGAUUUUUCAUUUGUAGUGUGUAGUUUUGUCUAACACUCCAGAGGACAGCGGGCUCAACUAGGACUCUGUUAACAUAGAUAAUGGCCCAACUUCUUCACUUGUCCUCAUUAGCAAAGGCUUUUCCACUGGGCACCGCUUUAAAUGUUAUCCAGAUUCUGUCCCACUACACAAGCAGCUGUGAACUUCUGGUUUUCCUCAUGAAGAGCAACUGAAAUUGAAAUUCUGCUUGCCUUGGGAUAUCAGUCAGCACCUGAGCAUCCACUCAGCAUCUUUCUCAGGGAAAUUACUCAACCCCUCCCCUAUCCUGUUUCCGAAACAACCAAGUCACAUCCCGAUCUCAGAUCACAGCUAAUUGGACCAGGGAUAGGAAACUAACCAAGAUCGGCAGUGGCCAAAGCCAUGCACUAAUUUGAAAAGAUGAACUCAA
Molecule: long non-coding RNA, 747 nt
Organism: Mustela lutreola (European mink)
Lineage: Eukaryota; Metazoa; Chordata; Mammalia; Carnivora; Mustelidae
Exons: 3
Source: RefSeq, a predicted model, not a curated record